RNAcentral lists this ribosomal RNA (654 nucleotides) under Triticum aestivum (bread wheat). RNAcentral describes it as "partial small subunit ribosomal RNA". Lineage: Eukaryota; Viridiplantae; Streptophyta; Magnoliopsida; Poales; Poaceae. The record is from RNAcentral.
AUGCUGCCCAUCACUGCACUAGUACUCUCUUGCUUCUUCACUCUCGCCACGUCCAUCGCCGGCGGAGAGCCGUCGCUGACCGCGUCGGCCAUCGUCGCCGCAGCCGAGUCCGGGGCGCACAUCCUCCGCAUCGACGGCUACUCCCUCACAAAGGGGCUCGGCAACGGCAAAUACAUCGCCUCCGAGGCGUUCGCCGUCGGCGGGCAUCGCUGGCGUCUGCUCUACUACCCCGACAGCCUCAACUCGAGCGACUCCGACUGGAUGUCCGUUGCCCUGCUCCUUGAUCACACAGAUCUCGAUGAAGUAAAAGCCAGAUUCACGAUUAGUUUGCUCGACCAAGACGGCAGCAAGGUGCCGUCACACAGCAUGACCAGCAGACCGCGCACCUUCACCGCCAGAAAGGGUGCGCGUCGUGCGCUGGGCUGUCGUCUCAUAAGGAAGAGCGACCUGGAGAGGUCGGUUUGGCUGAAGGACGAUUGCUUCAGCGUCCGGUGCGACAUCACCGUGCCAAUGGAGAUAUUCACUAAGGCCAUUCCGGUUACGGAACGUAGGAAAUGGCUCCUCUCGCCGACCAUGGGCUCCCUUGUGCAUGCGUGCGUGCACUGUUUAUCUUACAUGGCUAUAGUGCUUCAGGGAAAGGCUGCAGAUAUAUGA